AGAGUUUGAUCCUGGCUCAGGAUGAACGCUAGCGGCAGGCCUAACACAUGCAAGUCGAGGGGUAACGAUGGAGCUUGCUCCAGUCGACGACCGGCGCACGGGUGAGUAUCGCGUUUGUAACCUACCUUUAACAGGGAGAUAGCCCGAAGAAAUUCGGAUUAAUAUUCCAUAACACUAUAGUUUGGCAUCAUUUUAUAGUUAAAGCUCCGGCGGUUAAAGAUGGGCAUGCGUAACAUUAGCUUGUUGGUGAGGUAAAAGCUCACCAAGGCUACGAUGUUUAGGGGGUCUGAGAGGAUGGUCCCCCACACUGGUACUGAGACACGGACCAGACUCCUACGGGAGGCAGCAGUGAGGAAUAUUGGUCAAUGGGCGAAAGCCUGAACCAGCCAUGCCGCGUGAAGGAUGACGGCCCUAUGGGUUGUAAACUUCUUUUGUACGAGAAGAAACCACUCUACGUGUAGAGUGCUGACGGUAUCGUACGAAUAAGCAUCGGCUAACUCCGUGCCAGCAGCCGCGGUAAUACGGAGGAUGCAAGCGUUAUCCGGAUUUAUUGGGUUUAAAGGGUGCGUAGGCGGAAGAUUAAGUCAGUGGUGAAAUCCUGCAGCUCAACUGUAGAACUGUCAUUGAUACUGAUCUUCUUGAAUAUAGUUGAGGUAGGCGGAAUGUGUAAUGUAGCGGUGAAAUGCUUAGAUAUUACACAGAACACCGAUUGCGAAGGCAGCUUACUAAACUAUGAUUGACGCUGAGGCACGAAAGCGUGGGGAGCGAACAGGAUUAGAUACCCUGGUAGUCCACGCCGUAAACGAUGAUUACUCGUUGUUGGCGAUACAUUGUCAGCGACUGAGCGAAAGCAUUAAGUAAUCCACCUGGGGAGUACGAUCGCAAGAUUGAAACUCAAAGGAAUUGACGGGGGCCCGCACAAGCGGAGGAACAUGUGGUUUAAUUCGAUGAUACGCGAGGAACCUUACCUGGGCUUAAAUGCAGAACGACAGACCGUGAAACUGGUCUUUCUUCGGACGGACUGCAAGGUGCUGCAUGGCUGUCGUCAGCUCGUGCCGUGAGGUGUCGGGUCAAGUCCCAUAACGAGCGCAACCCUCGUCACUAGUUACUAACGGUUCGKSCGAGGACUCUARUGAGACUGSCUUCGUAAGGASGAGGAARGUGAGGACRACRUCUAGUCAUCAUGGCCCUUACGGCUACGGCAAUACACGUGCUACAAUGGSCACGACASUGAGACGCGAUACCGUGAGGUGGARCAAAUCUAUMARCCUGGUCUCASUUCGCAUAGUARUCUGYAACUCGACUACAUGAARCUGGAAUCACUAKUAAUCGUACAUCAGCUAURCUACGSUGAAUACRUUCCCGGGUCUYGUACUCACCGC
This 1382-nucleotide ribosomal RNA is filed under the name uncultured Cytophaga sp. Its description in RNAcentral is "bacterial SSU rRNA". It matches the Rfam family "Bacterial small subunit ribosomal RNA". The record is from RNAcentral. Lineage: Bacteria; Pseudomonadati; Bacteroidota; Cytophagia; Cytophagales; Cytophagaceae.